This 19-nucleotide unclassified non-coding RNA is filed under the name Chlamydomonas reinhardtii. RNAcentral's name for it is "small RNA Cre_2063". Lineage: Eukaryota; Viridiplantae; Chlorophyta; Chlorophyceae; Chlamydomonadales; Chlamydomonadaceae. The record is from RNAcentral.
GUGGGGGAGGGGGCGAGGG